AUAUUUUUUCCUUGUCAAAAAAAUUGCCGCCGAUAGUUGAGUUGUAUUUUUGGUUUCCAAUAUAUAUUUACAUUUUAAUUGCCACUAUACAAGAGUUUCAUUUAUUACGACCAUAGAUAUUGUUCACUAUUUUUCAUACAGGCCGCCACUGACUGUACUCUGUAAAUGUUUCGUUAAUUAAUGGUUGCACCAGCACUCCAUUCGCUCUCACCGCCUUGCGUUCUAUAGCAGGAUGCAAUUAGUGGAAGAAUGGAGGCGUCGAGAGAAUAAAAUGAAAAAUGUUCUGAAACUGUGAGGAGCGAGCGUCUCUUUGUUAUCGACAUCAAACAGAUCGCAUCCGUAAUGAGUUCAAAGUUAGAAUGCUUCAGUAGACGAAUGCGCCAUGUCCUGGCAACUAACAUGGCUUCCAACACCAAAUGAAUAAGCCACAACAAAAUCGGUCGCCUUGCCAUCUCGUAUUGGGCAUCAUUAAAACGCCUCCACCACCAGCGCAACAUAACCUAAAUGAAAGGGACGAUACAAUCUUGUUCAGGGAAAAUAAACAGAAGCAUUUGAUGGGUGAGAGGGGUGAGAGGGGGGAGAGGGGGAGAUAACGACCUGUUGAUGCCGGCGACGUCGCUCGCAGAGUGGGCCGUGUCGGCACUCAUUCGCUUUACAAGCCGGUCUUCACUUGAAGUCGGUUUAUUCGCACUUCAAUACUCAAUAUUUUUAUUGCAUUCCAUAAAGUUGACAUGGUGUUAUAAAUUAUAUAAAAAAGUACUUCACUUUGAGGUUUACUAAUUGUAUCUGUAGAUGAACAUGUAAUUUUGGAAAUGAUCAAGAACCUGUAUGAUACAGAUUGAUAGUUUUAAUAUACCAACCAAUCAAAUUUAUUUAUAAAAUCUACUAUAUCUGUAAGAAUGAUUUCCCGGAAGGACGUUACAAUUACUUUGUUGAUUUUGAAA
This is a long non-coding RNA of Plodia interpunctella (Indianmeal moth), 944 nucleotides long. RefSeq lists it as uncharacterized. Lineage: Eukaryota; Metazoa; Arthropoda; Insecta; Lepidoptera; Pyralidae. The transcript is spliced from 3 exons. The record is from RefSeq and is a predicted model, not a curated record.